GUGAUGGUGGUGGAGGUGGGUGGUGAGAGGUGGUGGAGACGGCCCUGCUAAUUUCUAUAUACUCUACACUUCAAAAGGAAAUCAUGACAAGAAAUCUCCAUGUGUUGGUUAUGUCCUGCUGAUAUUUUACCAUCUUUAUGACGGAAAGCAAAGGCUGAAAAAGGAAACAGAUAAUAAUAAGGACACUGCUGACUCUAGCAGAAAGAUAUGUUUCAUUGCCAGCGUCAACAGCUGCACUACAGUGAGUGUGUUGGUUGUAUUAAUUUUCUUAACUAGCAGCCAUUACCUGUUGUGAACCCACCUAUUACUAGAUGAAACCCUGGCAGUCCAAGAACUUAGAGGAGGAGAGAAUAUGAAACACAACCCAGGAGAUAGAAAAAGUGUGGCACCUGUGGCAUACAUGGGCAUAACAAGACUACUAGUCAGGGUGGGAAACAACUAAGGCAAGAAGAGGUUUUCAAGUUGCAAGUGCAAUUGGUGGGACUAACGGUGAUCUUUGUAGAGGUUCAACUGGAUCAGAUGCUACUUCUACUAUCACAGCUGUGUCGAGAGGAGGCCGUGGCAAAGCUACACCAAUAACUGAAGGUAUUCUUAUGAACUAACUUUCAUAUUGUCAAAUUCGGAAACUUGGAUUCUUGACCAAAGUUGGUAUUUAUCUU
Molecule: long non-coding RNA, 659 nt
Organism: Papaver somniferum (opium poppy)
Lineage: Eukaryota; Viridiplantae; Streptophyta; Magnoliopsida; Ranunculales; Papaveraceae
Exons: 3
Source: RefSeq, a predicted model, not a curated record